RNAcentral lists this ribosomal RNA (944 nucleotides) under uncultured Actinomycetales bacterium. RNAcentral's name for it is "partial 16S ribosomal RNA". It matches the Rfam family "Bacterial small subunit ribosomal RNA", at positions 57 to 1015 of the family's 1533-position model. The record is from RNAcentral. Lineage: Bacteria; Bacillati; Actinomycetota; Actinomycetes; Actinomycetales.
GCAAGUCGAACGAUGAAGCUGGAGCUUGCUCCGGUGGAUUAGUGGCGCACUGGUGAGUAACACGUGAGCAAUCUGCCCUUGACUCUGGGAUAACUGCGGGAAACUGUAGCUAAUACCGGAUACGACACCUUGGGGCAUCCCAGGGUGUGGAAAGAAUUUCGGUCAAGGAUGAGCUCGCGGCCUAUCAGCUAGUUGGUGAGGUAAUGGCUCACCAAGGCGACGACGGGUAGCCGGCCUGAGAGGGUGACCGGCCACACUGGAACUGAGACACGGUCCAGACUCCUACGGGAGGCAGCAGUGGGGAAUAUUGCACAAUGGGCGAGAGCCUGAUGCAGCAACGCCGCGUGAGGGAUGAAGGCCUUCGGGUUGUAAACCUCUUUUAGCAGGGAAGAAGCGAAAGUGACGGUACCUGCAGAAAAAGCACCGGCUAACUACGUGCCAGCAGCCGCGGUAAUACGUAGGGUGCAAGCGUUGUCCGGAAUUAUUGGGCGUAAAGAGCUCGUAGGCGGUUUGUCGCGUCUGCUGUGAAAAUCCGAGGCUCAACCUCGGACCUGCAGUGGGUACGGGCAAGCUAGAGUGCGGUAGGGGAGAUGGGAACUCCUGGUGUAGCGGUGGAAUGCGCAGAUAUCAGGAGGAACACCAAUGGCGAAGGCACAUCUCUGGGCCGUAACUGACGCUGAGGAGCGAAAGCGUGGGGAGCGAACAGGAUUAGAUACCCUGGUAGUCCACGCCCUAAACGUUGAUUACUCGCUGUUGGCGAUAUACUGUCAGUGGCUAAGCGAAAGCGUUAAGUAAUCCACCUGGGAAGUACGACCGCAAGGUUGAAACUCAAAGGAAUUGACGGGGGCCCGCACAAGCGGAGGAGCAUGUGGUUUAAUUCGAUGAUACGCGAGAAACCUUACCUGGGCUUAAAUGUCAGGUGACCGCUGCCGAAAGGUGGCUUC